AACGAACGCUGGCGGCAUGCCUAACACAUGCAAGUCGAACGAGACCUUCGGGUCUAGUGGCGCACGGGUUCGUAACGCGUGGGAACCUGCCCUUAGGUUCGGAAUAACUCCCCGAAAGGGGUGCUAAUACCGGAUAAUGUCUUCGGACCAAAGAUUUAUCGCCUUUGGAUGGGCCCGCGUUGGAUUAGCUAGUUGGUAGGGUAAAAGCCUACCAAGGCGACGAUCCAUAGCUGGUCUGAGAGGAUGAUCAGCCACACUGGGACUGAGACACGGCCCAGAAUCCUACGGGAGGCAGCAGUGGGGAAUAUUGGACCAUGGGCGAAAGCCUGAUCCAGCAAUGAUGCGUGAGUGAUGAAGGCCUUAGGGUUGUAAAGCUCUUUUACCCGGGAUGAUAAUGACAGUACCGGGAGAAUAAGCUCCGGCUAACUCCGUG
RNAcentral lists this ribosomal RNA (433 nucleotides) under uncultured bacterium. RNAcentral describes it as "partial 16S ribosomal RNA". It matches the Rfam family "Bacterial small subunit ribosomal RNA", at positions 29 to 507 of the family's 1533-position model. The record is from RNAcentral.